This 275-nucleotide ribosomal RNA is filed under the name Vibrio cholerae O139. Its description in RNAcentral is "partial 16S ribosomal RNA". It matches the Rfam family "Bacterial small subunit ribosomal RNA", at positions 739 to 1013 of the family's 1533-position model. Lineage: Bacteria; Pseudomonadati; Pseudomonadota; Gammaproteobacteria; Vibrionales; Vibrionaceae. The record is from RNAcentral.
ACUGACACUCAGAUGCGAAAGCGUGGGGAGCAAACAGGAUUAGAUACCCUGGUAGUCCACGCCGUAAACGAUGUCUACUUGGAGGUUGUGCCCUAGAGGCGUGGCUUUCGGAGCUAACGCGUUAAGUAGACCGCCUGGGGAGUACGGUCGCAAGAUUAAAACUCAAAUGAAUUGACGGGGGCCCGCACAAGCGGUGGAGCAUGUGGUUUAAUUCGAUGCAACGCGAAGAACCUUACCUACUCUUGACAUCCAGAGAAUCUAGCGGAGACGCUGGA